Molecule: ribosomal RNA, 258 nt
Filed under: uncultured bacterium
Lineage: Bacteria
Description: partial 16S ribosomal RNA
Rfam family: Bacterial small subunit ribosomal RNA
Source: RNAcentral
UACGAAGGGGGCUAGCGUUGCUCGGAUUGACUGGGCGUAAAGGGCGCGUAGGCGGUUUCGUACAGUCAGACGUGAAAUUCCUGGGCUCAACCUGGGGGCUGCGUUUGAUACGUGCGGACUUGAGUGCGGAAGAGGGGUCGUGGAAUUCCCAGUGUAGAGGUGAAAAUUCGUAGAUAUUGGGAAGAACACCGGGUGGCGAAGGCGGCGACCUGGUCCGAUACUGACGGCUGAGGCGCGAAAGCGUGGGGAGCAAACAGG